CCGAACCGAUACCGGAGGACAGGUCAUUUUACCUGUGGGGAUAUACCUGCCUGAGCAGGCGGCUGCAUUCGUGCAUCACCGUACCCCGUCAUACCUCAUUCGCGCAUUCUCCGGCGCACCGGGGAACGUUUA
The submitters of this non-coding RNA (132 nucleotides) gave its source as unclassified sequences. The record is from Rfam.